GAUGAACGCUGGCGGCGUGCCUAAUACAUGCAAGUCGAGCGAACAGACGAGGAGCUUGCUCCUCUGACGUUAGCGGCGGACGGGUGAGUAACACGUGGAUAACCUACCUAUAAGACUGGGAUAACUUCGGGAAACCGGAGCUAAUACCGGAUAAUAUAUUGAACCGCAUGGUUCAAUAGUGAAAGACGGUUUUGCUGUCACUUAUAGAUGGAUCCGCGCCGCAUUAGCUAGUUGGUAAGGUAACGGCUUACCAAGGCAACGAUGCGUAGCCGACCUGAGAGGGGGAUCGGCCACACUGGAACUGAGACACGGUCCAGACUCCUACGGGAGGCAGCAGUAGGGAAUCUUCCGAAAUGGGCGAAAGCCUGACGGAGCAACGCCGCGUGAGUGAUGAAGGUCUUCGGAUCGUAAAACUCUGUUAUUAGGGAAGAACAAAUGGGUAAGUAACUAUGCACGUCUUGACGGUACCUAAUCAGAAAGCCACGGCUAACUACGU
RNAcentral lists this ribosomal RNA (496 nucleotides) under uncultured bacterium. RNAcentral's name for it is "partial 16S ribosomal RNA". It matches the Rfam family "Bacterial small subunit ribosomal RNA", at positions 28 to 506 of the family's 1533-position model. The record is from RNAcentral.